AACGAACGCUGGCGGCAUGCCUAACACAUGCAAGUCGAACGAGACCUUCGGGUCUAGUUGCGCACGGGUGCGUAACGCGUGGGAACCUGCCCUUAGGUUCGGAAUAACUCCCCGAAAGGGGUGCUAAUACCGGAUAAUCUCUUCGGACCAAAGAUUUAUCGCCUUUGGAUGGGCCCGCGUUGGAUUAGCUAGUUGGUAGGGUAAAAGCCUACCAAGGCGACGAUCCAUAGCUGGUCUGAGAGGAUGAUCAUCCACACUGGGACUGAGACACGGCCCAGACUCCUACGGGAGGCAGCAGUGGGGAAUAUUGGACAAUGGGCGAAAGCCUGAUCCAGCAAUGCCGCGUGAGUGAUGAAGGCCUUAGGGUUGUAAAGCUCUUUUACCCGGGAUGAUAAUGACAGUACCGGGAGAAUAAGCUCCGGCUAACUACGUG
Molecule: ribosomal RNA, 433 nt
Filed under: uncultured bacterium
Lineage: Bacteria
Description: partial 16S ribosomal RNA
Rfam family: Bacterial small subunit ribosomal RNA
Source: RNAcentral